GAUGAAGAACGUAGCGAAAUGCGAUAAGUAGUGUGAAUUGCAGAAUUCAGUGAAUCAUCGAAUCUUUGAACGCACAUUGCGCCCCAUGGUAUUCCGUGGGGCAUGCCUGUUCGAGCGUCAUUUACCCGCUCAAGCUCCGCUUGGUGUUGGGCGUCUGUCCCGCUUCGCGCGCGGACUCGCCCCAAAGGUAUUGGCAGCGGUCGUGCCAGCUUCUCGCGCAGCACAUUGCGCUUCUCGAGGCACCGGUGGGCCCGCGUCCAUCAAGCUCACCCCCCCAGUUUGACCUCGGAUCAGGUAGGGAUACCCGCUGAACUUAAGCAUAUCAAUAAGCGGAGGA
This 337-nucleotide unclassified non-coding RNA is filed under the name soil metagenome. Its description in RNAcentral is "partial contains 5.8S ribosomal RNA, internal transcribed spacer 2, and large subunit ribosomal RNA". The stretch from base 1 to 120 matches the Rfam family "5.8S ribosomal RNA", at positions 35 to 154 of the family's 154-position model. The record is from RNAcentral.